This 253-nucleotide ribosomal RNA is filed under the name uncultured bacterium. RNAcentral describes it as "partial 16S ribosomal RNA". It matches the Rfam family "Bacterial small subunit ribosomal RNA", at positions 524 to 776 of the family's 1533-position model. The record is from RNAcentral.
UACAGAGGGGGCAAGCGUUGUUCGGAAUUACUGGGCGUAAAGGGCGCGUAGGCGGCCUGUUAAGUCGAACGUGAAAUCCCCGGGCUCAACCCGGGAACUGCGUCCGAUACUGGCAGGCUUGAAUCCGGGAGAGGGAUGCGGAAUUCCAGGUGUAGCGGUGAAAUGCGCAGAUAUCAGGAAGAACACCAAUGGCGAAAGCAGCUCUCUGGGACGGUACUGACGCUGAGACGCGAAAGCGUGGGGAGCGAACAGG